GGUGAGUGAAUACAUAAUUGAACCAGUGAUUGAUGGUUUGACUGAUUAAUUGAUAAAGUGAAUUUUGAUUGAUAAAGUGAGUUGUGAUUGAUUGAUUCACUGAUUGGCUGACUGAUUUAAGUAUGAUGUCCUUUGACUGAGUGUGAUUGGUUGGGUGAGUGAAUACAUAAUUGAACCAGUGUUUGAUGGUUUGACUGAUUAAUUGAUAAAGUGAAUUUUGAUUGAUAAAGUGAGUUGUGAUUGAUUGAUUCACUGAUUGGCUGACUGAUUUAAGUAUGAUGUCCUUUGACUGAGUGUGAUUGGGUGGGUGAGUGAAUACAUAAUUGAACCAGUGAUUGAUGGUUUGACUGAUUAAUUGAUCGAAUGAGUUGUGAUUGAUUGAUUGGCUGAUCUGAUUUAAGUAUAAUGAGUUUAAUUGAGUGGCAAGAUAAGGAACCAGUGAUUGAUUGAUUGAAUGCUAUUAUACAGGGUGUAUUUGAUCAAUUAUAUGUUUCGUUUUCUCAGGGUCGUUUGACAGCAGCAGGAGUAGAAUCAAUCUUAGAUCUCCAAUCAGAACUAAUUCAACAGAUUGUUACUGAGUAUGCAGACAAGCAAUCAGAGUUAGUGGCAGAAGAGCGGCCUCAGAAGAUGAGUGGAGCCCAGCAACACAAACGAAUGAUGGCAUCACUUGAAAAGCAGAUUGCAAAUCAG
Long non-coding RNA from Anneissia japonica, 690 nucleotides. RefSeq lists it as uncharacterized. The record is from RefSeq and is a predicted model, not a curated record. The transcript has 2 exons. Lineage: Eukaryota; Metazoa; Echinodermata; Crinoidea; Comatulida; Comatulidae.